Molecule: ribosomal RNA, 496 nt
Filed under: uncultured bacterium
Lineage: Bacteria
Description: partial 16S ribosomal RNA
Rfam family: Bacterial small subunit ribosomal RNA
Source: RNAcentral
GAUGAACGCUGGCGGCGUGCCUAAUACAUGCAAGUCGAGCGAACAGACGAGGAGCUUGCUCCUCUGACGUUAGCGGCGGACGGGUGAGUAACACGUGGAUAACCUACCUAUAAGACUGGGAUAACUUCGGGAAACCGGAGCUAAUACUGGAUAAUAUAUUGAACCGCAUGGUUCAAUAGUGAAAGACGGUUUUGCUGUCACUUAUAGAUGGAUCCGCGCCGCAUUAGCUAGUUGGUAAGGUAACGGCUUACCAAGGCAACGAUGCGUAGCCGACCUGAGAGGGGGAUCGGCCCCACUGAAACUGAGACACGGUCCAGACUCCUACGGAAGGCAGAGGUAGGGAAUCUUCGGCAAUGGGCGAAAGCCUGCCGGAGCAACGCGGCGUGGGUGAGGAAGGUCUGCGGAUCGUAAAACUCUGUUAUUGGGGAAGAACAAAUGUGUAAGUAACUAUGCACGUCUGAACGGAACCUAUUCAGAAGGCCACGGCUAACUAGGG